Molecule: RNA transcript, 2624 nt
Organism: Vidua chalybeata
Lineage: Eukaryota; Metazoa; Chordata; Aves; Passeriformes; Viduidae
Exons: 20
Source: RefSeq, a predicted model, not a curated record
GGUUUCCUGGUGCCCGCAAGGCCUCAGCGUCCAGAGCAGCCCUUGGCACGCUCGUGGCAGGAGGAUCACCUCGACUGUGCUGUUCUCAGAUUACAGCGGGUGUCCUUUUGCUUCUGUAUUUUCUUGCACAGUCCGUAGAGUCGUGCAAGUGUCCUGUUGCUCCCCUUUUUCCUUGCACAGUCUGGGGACUUGUGCAAGAGGGGGGUUUUUUCUAUUUUUUUUCCUGGCCUACGGACUCGAGCAGCACUGCUCAAACCAUGGAGCGAGUCCGUAGAGCAGUCAGCAGCGCCUUUUCAUUGGCGGCUUCUCGGAAAGCUUUUCAUCGUUUGACUGGUCGCCUCAGACGUGGAAGGAAUCGAGUGCACGUUUUGGUCCCUCAAGGAGAGGUCCUCGCCAGUCAGGACUCCUCGGUCCAGGCAGGAAAGGCGGAGCGGCAGGAGAGCACGGAUAGAGUGCGCGGCGCUCAGGAGUUCAGGUGGAAGCAGUUGUCUGCAUUUGAGGGAAAGCACCACUCCUCACUAGAGAGGGCGUUUGAAGUGGCGGCACAGACAGCGGAGGAAUCACAGCCUCAGAGGGAUCUGCUGAAGGAAGCAGUUCCUCUGGCAGCGCCAAAGGUUUGCCGCCCGCAGCGGCCAGCCCACAGGGGUCUGGAGAAGCUGCUCCAGGAGUUCUCUCGCCAAGGGCACGCACUGUCCCAGGUGUGCAGAGAGAAGGCGGUGCUGGCGCAAGAGAACGCUGCCCUGGAAGCCCGACUGGCAGCCACGGAGCGGGACCUACGAGGCGUUUCAGAGCAGCUGGCAGAGGCCAGGUCAGAGAAGGAGAGGCUGCAAAGCAGCCUGCUGGAGGCUCAGCAGCACGUAUCAGAGCUGGAGAUAGCCAGGAGCCGUGUGGAAGCCCAAGUGCGCACAGCCACGCAGGCCAAGGAGGCGAUACUGGAGGAUGUGAGGGGCCUUCAUCGUGAGCUGCUGGCUGUAAGAUCUCUCAGCAAGCAGCAAUGUGAAGACAUGGCUCAACAGCUCCGCUGGGCAGAAGAGCAGUGCAGCAAGGCUGUGAGACUCUGGCAAUCUGCUGAGAAAGCGAAGGAAAGAAAGAUCAUGCAAAAACUGGCGAGACAACAGCUGGAACUACAGAGGUUGGAGGCGCAGAAGAAGAUGGAGCAGCUGGAAAAAGCCCUGACAGAGCUCCAGUGCCAGAAUGCUGCUCUGUGUGAUAACAUGUGCCAGCUGAGGCAGGAGCUGAACAAGCUGAAGAAAGGGCAGAAUAUCAAGCUGCAGGCAGAGCUGCAGGACGCUCAGAGGAAGAUGAAGGCCAUGGAGAAGAGGCACAAAGAAGAAAUGGAAAGGAUGCAUAAGGUCCUGCUGCAGUACAGCCCAGCUGAAGAAAAGCAGAUGGACGCAGGAUCUGCCAUCAAAGCUGCCGCUGCAGCAGCAUCCUCCGAAGAAGCCUCCUCUCCGCAGCCCGAAAACCCGAGCGUGAGCAGUUCGGCCCUCUCAAGCCGGGAGAAAGAGAAGCAGUUCCUGAAGCUGCUGAGGCGUGAGGUGAGUGUGGGAGAUCCAGAGAAGAAGUACACUGGAUGGAGACCUAUUGGCAGUGGGGGGUUUGGAACCGUUUAUAAGGCCUUCAACGCUGCCACAGGACAAGCGGUGGCCAUAAAGCAAAUUAAUCUCCAGUGCCAGGGCUGCGAGGAUGUGUUGAAGGAAAUCCUGGUCAUGAAAGAAUAUAAGAACCCGAAUAUUGUCACCUACCUAGAAAGCUACCUUGUCAAUGAGGAUGUCCUGGUGGUGUUGGAGUAUAUGGAUGGAGGCUCCUUAGCUGAUGUGGUCAGCAUGAAAAGGAUGGCUGUAGGACACAUAGCAACAGUGUGUCGGGAGUGCCUGCAAGGCCUGGCUUUCCUUCAUGCCAACCAGGUGAUCCACAGAGACAUCAAAAGUGACAACAUCCUUCUGGGCCAGGAUGGCUCCGUCAAGCUGGCCGAUUUUGGCCUCUGUGCUCCACUCAGCCCUGAGCAGAGUAAACGGAGGUCGAUGGUCGGGACCACUUGCUGGAUGGCACCCGAGGUGGUGAGAAGAGAGCCAUACGGCCCCAAAGUGGACAUCUGGUCCCUUGGCAUCGUGGGAAUAGAAAUGGCCAAAGGAGAGGCUCCUUAUAUUCGGGAACCCAGUGAGAGGGCUAACUACCUGAUAGGCAAGCAAGGCGUACCAGACCUGCACAAGCUCAGGCUGCCCUCUGGCUUGUGUGAAUUUCUGGGCUGCUGCCUGCAGAUGGAUGUGGACAGGCGAGGCUCUGCCAAGGAACUUCUGCAGCAUCCAUUUCUCCAGUCAGCGGAGCCUCUCUUAAGCCUCUUCUGACAGCCUGAUCGCUGUCAUCCCUGCAGCCAAGUCAUGCAGGAAGCAAAGGAGACGACAAGGACCACUUCAGCACCUGGAGAACUGAACCUGUGAGAACAGAUCACAUGGGCCCCUGCCAUCUAAAUCCCAACUCUAAGGGCUUUUCAAAUGAAAAGGAAGGAAACUUGCAGCGAAGCAAUCGAGGAAGCAGAAGAGAUGACCAGGACCACUUCAGGAUUACUUCCUCCAAAGGCAGCUUGGAGCUGGACUCACAAUAAAAGUCCUAUACACCCCCAA